AUUUAAAUAAUUUAAUAAAAAUAUUGAUUUGUGGUGUCAAAUAUAUAUGUAUUCAUAUUUUAAAUU
RNAcentral lists this transfer RNA (66 nucleotides) under Megaphragma amalphitanum. RNAcentral describes it as "tRNA-His". Lineage: Eukaryota; Metazoa; Arthropoda; Insecta; Hymenoptera; Trichogrammatidae. The record is from RNAcentral.